RNAcentral lists this long non-coding RNA (533 nucleotides) under Mytilus galloprovincialis (Mediterranean mussel). The record is from RNAcentral. Lineage: Eukaryota; Metazoa; Mollusca; Bivalvia; Mytilida; Mytilidae.
AGCUACAUUUGGUCAUCUUGAGUUUUAAUACAUUUUAUUCCGUUUAGUUCCUUUCUUCAUAAAGUGUAGAGGAGAACGGCAGUUGUCCGCAUGUAAACUUCUAGCAUUUGUCACCAAUUAGAGUACAUCGAAAUCUGUUACUGUUUCAACACCCAGGGAUGUUUCUUAAACAAUUAUUAUUUUUUCUCUCUUUUUUAGCAAUGCAUCACUCUCUACUGUCCUUAUCUAUUAUUCUAUAUUCUGCUACUCCAUCCAGAUUAUCGUGUAUACCAUGAGGGUUCGGAUUUUUUUUUUUUUUUUGGGGGGGGGGGGGUUAUUUCUGUAUUCUUUAAAUUGUUAUGUCACGUUUCCUCCGUGACUUUUUUCCUUUUACCUUUUAUUUAUCUUACUCAUUAUUCUUUCUCUAUUCUUUAUAUUUUAGCAUCCCAAUAUAUUUUACUUACUGAUGUUUAGUUACAUUACGAUGUUUAUCUCUGAUCUAUAUACUGGUUACCAAUGUAGAUGACAAAUUGGUGUCAUUCAUGACAAUUAAA